CCAUAGAGGGCACAUGUUCCCUAAUUGGCCUAGAGCAUAGCGGCUCAUUAUCCUUCUACCGCUGGGGGCGGGCGGUACUCGCUGCUCUGUGAAGCCAGCCUCACGCAAUGUCCGCCACUUUAGGUGUUAGGAUGCAAAGGUGUUCGCCAAGGCACCCGAAACCCACUACACAACUUGGAAUGGGUGGUCCACAGUUUGUAGCACUAGACCCAAGCACAUGCACCACGAUUGACAUCCACACUUCCUUAUUGCCCCCGCUCAGGUUACAAGCAAUCGCUACUUGCUCAGCGAGUUAAGGGGUUCAGGACUGCCUAUUUAAGGUGGUGUUGUACUCUUUGAGGCGGCGAUGUGGUAUUAACCAACAACAAAUAGUGUCAUGCAUGUGAGUUGCUAGUUGGCAAAGUCUGUUGUUGACCUAGCUAUGGGCUAUGGCUGAAGCACAUGACGAUAGAGUAGGCCUAUUAUGUUUUGUUGAUUUUGGGCCUUUGUGGACUUUAUGGUGAUGUCCAGAAAUUUUUUAUGUGUUUCCUCUUCCCAAUGAAGUGGAAAGUGGGUGCGUCAGAGAAGAAAGAAAGAGUGGCUAGCAUUGAUUUUAUGUCAUCCCCUUGAGAACAUUAAUCAAAAGCAGAAGCAACAAUAUUUGAUACAUAUACAACACAUGUAAUCCAUAUAAACAACUUUCCUUCAAAAAUAAUAUAAACCACAUGAUUAUAUCUUAGGUCGGUCAUAUCCACAAAGGGCAAGGACACACACCUAAGUUUGUAGUUUAGAACUAAGAGUGUCUACUCUCACGAUUUCUUCCCGACAUAUGCAAACUGGACACUAAUCACGUAAAGUAAAGACAUAUGUGGUAACACGAACGUAUAGCAUGUAUUUCAACCUAUAGAUUGUUGAUUAUUAUGGUAGAUUAUUUAAUAUAGGGAUUCCCGAAGAAAUACGUAAAAAUGAGAGAAUUAAAUUUUCCUUUUCAGAUUUGGCUAACUGGUAAAAGGAGUUGGAGUAUCUGAGUUUCCAAAUUUGGGACGUACAUGUAUAGAAGGAAUAUAAAUACGUUGGAAAUUUUUCUACAAGGCAAGGUUUAACACAAGUUGGGACAAGAAAAAACCAACGAGGCUUUGAUCGCAUGGUCACAAAACUAGAGACAAGAAACAUGAAGAAACCAAGGUAAUUAGUAUGAGAGUUUUCCAAAUUUGGUGUCUUGAUGUAGAAAAAAUAAAUAUAUGACAAACAUGUUUUUCUACAAGGCAUGGUAUAAUAAGUCGGAGUGAGUAAUAAAUUUCAUCAUAGAUUUAGAAGGAAGAAAUAUAUCACUAAAUAUGUUCUUUCAUAAUGCCAAGUUAAGCAGGUGGGGCCGAGAAAACAAUUCUAGUAAGGCUUGGUUGUACUAACCCCAAACUAGAUACAACAGAGGAAAAAUGAAAAAAUGUUGGUCUACCAAAUAUGGCGCAUGAGCCUUAAGGUGGACCUAGAGGGAAGUAGAAGAAAUAAAUAUAUAACUGAAUAUGUUUUUCGCAAUGCAAGGUAAAGUGUAGAUGUGCUCUAACUAGGCUUAAAUUGCAGCGACACGUUAUCCAUCCACAAAGCUUGGUUGCACAUAGAAAAAAGGUAAAGAGAAAAAUGUAGACGCAGGAUCGGUUGAAAACAUUCAAUGAAGCAUGAUUGCACGGACAUAGAACUAGAUAGAAGAAAAGAGUUAAUUAAAGAAAAAUAAAGGAAGUAAAUUUUCUUUUGCACACAAAGCAUGAAUGGAGUUGUAGUAUCUGAGAUCCCAAAUUUAAUUUGUUCCAAGAUGUAGAACAAAACUGCGAGACUCGUAAUGAUUACAUAGUGUAACACCCCAGGAUCCUCAAACACCCAGAAUGCUACUAAACUACACAUCUAACAGUCAUAUAUAAAAUUUCGAUAACAUCCCCUUUGAAAAUUACAUAAACGGGGAAGCAACAAAAUAUAAAUAGAUAUCAUGAUAAGAGAACAUAAUAGACAUUAAUAAUCUGCUAGCAAUGGAAAGACAACCAUAACGGCAUGAACUAAAUCAACCAGUGCGCACAACUAGUUAGAAACAACAUCCUUUGACAAGAAGUUUCUAAUUAAAUCCUGACUGCGCCUAAGCAGCGUUAUUAUGAGAGUGAAGGUGGAUGUGCUGCUACUUCCCACUUCCCUUGAUGAGCAACAAGCACCUGCAUUGAGUAAUGCAAGAGUGAGAUGAAACAUCUCAGCAAGCGAAUUAUUUUGACAAGAUAUUUAAACCACAAAUUGAAUUAAUCAACAUUUUAAAAGAAUCACAAUUAAGAUCAGAAAUUCUUGUAGAUAUAGAACUCAGUAGUCUCAAUAUAACCAAUACCAUCUCAUUUCCUUAAACAACCACAAUAGUUUGUAUAACACUUCCCUGCGUCAACAAUACCUACAAAUAUCACUUCAAUGUAUGCAUAGGAACACAAAGUGUAGUUACUCUGUCUUCAUACCUCUGAGGGUAUAAAACCACAUCAUAUGCAAAUAUCACUUCAAUGAAUGCAUAUGAAUGCAAUGCAUAUGUCAUCUGCCUUCAUACCUCUAAGGGUAUGAAGCCGCAUCGUACCCCUCCUCGGGCAACGUACGAUGCUAAGUUGUACCGGUACGGUCGGACCAUAGGUCACGACCCAACUUCAGAUGCAAGUGAAUCAUGCAAUGUAUAUGGCAUGCUGCAUUUAUCAAUAUACUUCACUUUCUUCACAUACAAUACAACCUCAAAUAAUACUUCAUUUACCUUCAGAUACAAUACCAACCUCAAAUAAUACUUCAUUUACCUUCAGGGGUGUGAAUUAAUCUCAUGAGUCAUACUCGAAUCAUAAUCAUCAUCAAUAUAUGAUUGAGCAUCAGUAUAAUGCAAGUAAGUAAAGCAUCACCAUAGAGUCCAAUUAUGAAAGAAUCCAAUACUUCUGAAUAUUAGAGUGUAGGCAAUAGAAAUAACAGGUCAGAACGGAAGCAACCACCGCUACAUUCACUUGCCUUCAUCGAAGAAGAAAAAUGUACUAGGCAUGAUCUGGAGUGUAGCCACCUGCUAGCGGGCAUAAAACUUAGUACAAAUAUUUCACAAACAUUUGCCAACAAUUAACAAAUCGAUCCUACACCUGAAACCAAGACCUGGGGGAAAACCUCCCACUCUGAACCACAUGCCAUACAACAGCAAUGUUGUUUGUUAAUUUUGUAUCUUUAAAAUUAUAACAGUGGUGAUAUCAAACAAAUACUCCAUGAGUAUCUACACAAAAUAUUCUACAACUUCGGUAUUCGAUGGAUAAUUAAAUUCUGCCAUCUAUAAGUUCUAAAACAUCUAACAAGAUAACUGACUGAAUCUAUUUUAGACAGCAGCAUAGUUAACUUUCAAAAUUCGAUAUCUCACAAACUACUCAACCAAAAAUCAUGAAAUUCUUCUGAAAGUAAGAAUUUUUAUCCCUCUACAAAAGUCUCCAUAGCUGGGAGAGCCAAUUCGGCCAUUUACUUGAUGAAACCUACCAGUGAACAGACCCGCUCAUUUCUGUUAGGCUAACAGAAACAGCCACAGUAAAACAAACAUAACUGGAGUUUCAUAAUUCAUAUGAAUGCACUCUUUAACAAUCUGGAAAGAUUAUGAAAUUAUCUACAUCUUUUCUUACAAACCUAAGGUUUAAUUCUGUUGAUAAAAUUGCCUAAAUCUUAAGAGAACAGAUUCUGUACAGAAUUAAGAGACUGAAAAACUGCUAUAAUCAAACUGCGAUAACUCUCUGAUCUGAUGUCUGGUUGAGGUGUUCUUCGCGGCCAUGGAAAGAUCUACAAAUUAUCUACGACUUAUAUAUAGACUUUUUAUUUUUUUGAGGCCUCUAAGACCACGGAAAACUGGGAUUAACAGAAACUGUCGAAUCUGCCAUUCUGCAGAAAACUAAAUUCGAGAUCAAAACCUAACCCCACAUCUAAUCCAACCUCUAAUCCUUUAAUUCCCAUGAUCCACAACCUCCAAAAGCACAUAAUUACAGGGAGGAACAAGGAUCUCAUCCAUACCUAGGGUUUCCCCAAGAAAUUCUGCAAGAAGAGAUGGGGAAGAACAUCUCCUUGAUCCUCUCUUCCCCUUCAACUCAAUGUGCUCCUCUUCUCGAUCCUUGUUGCGCGGGGGGAGAUCUAGAGGGAGGAGGAAGCCGUGGAGAGGGGCUGCCAUGGGAGGAGAGGGCAGCCAGCCCAAGGAAAAAGGAGAGAGGGGCGGCCAAGUGUUGGAGGAGGGGAAAGGGUUGGCGACCAAGUAGGGGCAAAAGGGGGAAAAGGCCACCACUAGGGUUUUCUUUGCGGGAGAAAAGAAGCGAUGCCACAGAUGACUCCGACUUAGCAUCCAACGGCCCACAACCCUUUUCCCACAUCCACGCACCGAAAAUCAACCUUUGGCAACAUUUUUUUGGGAUAUUACACUCUACCCGCCUUAAAAAGAAUUCGUCCUCGAAUUCGUCCACUCCAAACAAAACAUCCAUGGUACCCCAUAUAACACCACCAUUCCAAAACAUGGGUCCAUUAUUGGUCUUAAUUAACACAAGAACUUCGACCUCAGACUAAAUGUCUAAGGAAACUACACCACCUGACAUCAAGCAUGAACCAACAUGUAAUGAAGCUCAAACCAAGUCAUAGAUGCAAUCAACACUACGAUUUCACAACAUCGAAUUUGGAUGCAGCCAUACAUCCGCAUCAAUGUCUUAAAACGACACUCUUUGAUGAAGGGGUAAUAUGCACUAAGCACAACCUUUACCAACUUCAACAAUUCAUUUUAAUUUAAUGGUGAAACAUCCACACCAGAUGAAUGUAUAAGAAGAUCAAACACCUCACCUCACAGCACCACGAAACAAUUAGUUCUAUUGAAACAAAACUCCUAAUCUUCCUAAACCUUGUUCUUGCCAUAAUGAAAAUAUAAUCAUGUAAUCUAACAUUCUUUGCACCCCACCGAAAGGGAGAUAAUCUACAGAACUAAUGGAGCAAUAAAACCGACAAGAAGCCAAUAACAUUAUGCACGGCACAGUUCAUCGAAGAAAUGCCAAAAACUCCACAUAGAGCACAGACAGCCCAACGACAACACAAUACUUGCUUAACCCAUGUCACUAUACUUCAUCCAACAACUUAACUAAGAAAAAUAUCCAAACUAGUAAGGUUAACCUACACAUAAUAUAAGUCUUCAUCUACUGUAGUUCAGAAACUUACAUUUCAUUCUAUCAUAUGAUGCACUCCGAGUACCAGACAUAAAAGGUCAAUACUAGCCCGUAAUCCUUCACACAUUUAGAAAACAUCCCAAGCUGAUGUUAAAACCACAUCAUCUAGGAAUAGGUGACUAACCACACACAACCAACUCUAGGCUAAGCAAUGACUUCAUUCAAACCAAUAGAUAAGUGGUCCGACAAUGGCUCCACAAACAUGCAUCGGGAAGAGAACCAUCAAAUCCUCAACGUAUUAAUACAUAAUCAAUGGAUCAAGAAAAAUCAAAGAUUUAUUCUACAAUUAGCAUGACUAACAUGCAACCACUUUAAACCACAUCUAGGCUUUGUGGCUACUAAAACACACGAUAGAAGAGAGAGACAUGUAAGCCAUUCUGGCUAUGUAAAGACUUCCCCCAAAAAUCCAUAUAAAAGUACCAAUAUUCAUUUCUUUGAUAACUGGUUUCUCAACAUAAACAAUCAUUCUUUGUAAAGAUAGUUGGAGCUAUCCACCAACCGCUCAACAACUUAAAUUCAAAUUGAUGAUUACCUUGUACCCCAAAACACGCAAUUCACACUCCUCUUAGAAACAUCCUCAAUAAGGCAUAUAUAACAAUAUUAUUGUAAUAAAACUCAACCAUGAAAAACAUGGUGAAAACAAGAUAGGCAUACUUGUAUAUCACAAGCAUAAUAACAACUUCAUUCUCACAAAUGACCAGCGAUAUCUACAGCAUUAAACAAACAAUAUUAAAAUUUCAGAAAUAAAUUAUAUCAAGCAUUAAGCCAUAAACAACUUACCACAUCACCAUAAAGGAAUAGGGAGGGGUGAGGUUAUUGUCAUCUGCACUUCAAAGACACUAACAUAUAUCAAAGAUAUUUAAACCCAUACCCUUUCUAUAUGUGCGAGUGUGUCAAAUUUAUCUUCAAAUUGCCAAGAAUCUAAAGCCUAUGCUUUGAUACCAAUUGUAACACCCCGGGAUCCUCAAACACCCAGAAUGCUACUAAACUACACAUCUAACAGUCAUAUAUAAAAUUUCGACAACAUCCCCUUUGAAAAUUACAUAAACGGGGAAGCAACAAAAUAUAAAUAGAUAUCAUGAUAAGAGAACAUAAUAGACAUUAAUAAUCUGCUAGCAAUGGAAAGACAACCAUAACGGCAUGAACUAAAUCAACCAGUGCGCACAACUAGUUAGAAACAACAUCCUUUGACAAGAAGUUUCUAAUUAAAUCCUGACUGCGCCUAAGCAGCGUUAUUAUGAGAGUGAAGGUGGAUGUGCUGCUACUUCCCACUUCCCUUGAUGAGCAAAAAGCACUUGCAUUGAGUAAUGCAAGAGUGAGAUGAAACAUCUCAGCAAGCGAAUUGUUUUGACAAGAUAUUUAAACCACAAAUUGAAUUAAUCAACAUUUUAAAAGAAUCACAAUUAAGAUCAGAAAUUCUUGUAGAUAUAGAACUCAGUAGUCUCAAUAUAACCAAUACCAUCUCAUUUCCUUAAACAACCACAAUAGUUUGUAUAACACUUCCCUGCGUCAACAAUACCUGCAAAUAUCACUUCAAUGUAUGCAUAGGAACACAAAGUGUAGGUACUCUGUCUUCAUACCUCUGAGGGUAUAAAACCACAUCAUAUGCAAAUAUCACUUCAAUGAAUGCAUAUGAAUGCAAUGCAUAUGUCCUCUGCCUUCAUACCUCUAAGGGUAUGAAGCCGCAUCGUACCCCUCCUCGGGCAACGUACGAUGCUAAGUUGUACCGGUACGGUCGGACCAUAGGUCACGACCCAACUUCAGAUGCAAGUGAAUCAUGCAAUGUAUAUGGCAUGCUGCAUUUAUCAAUAUACUUCACUUCCUUCACAUACAAUACAACCUCAAAUAAUACUUCAUUUACCUUCAGAUACAAUACCAACCUCAAAUAAUACUUCAUUUACCUUCAGGGGUGUGAAUUAAUCUCAUGAGUCAUACUCGAAUCAUAAUCAUCAUCAAUAUAUGAUUGAGCAUCAGUAUAAUGCAAGCAAGUAAAGCAUCACCAUAGAGUCCAAUUAUGAAAGAAUCCAAUACUUCUGAAUAUUAGAGUGUAGGCAAUAGAAAUAACAGGUCAGAACGGAAGCAACCACCACUACAUUCACUUGACUUCAUCGAAGAAGAAAAAUGUACUAGGCAUGAUCUGGAGUGUAGCCACCUGCUAGCGGGCAUAAAACUUAGUAAAAAUAUUUCACAAACAUUUGCCAACAAUCAACAAAUCGAUCCUACACCUGAAACCAAGACCUGGGGGAAAACCUCCCACUCUGAACCACAUGCCAUACAACAGCAAUGUUGUUUGUUAAUUUUGUAUCUUUAAAAUUAUAAAAGUGGUGAUAUCAAACAAAUACUCCAUGAGUAUCUACACAAAAUAUUCUACAACUUCGGUAUUCGAUGGAUAAUUAAAUUCUGCCAUCUAUAAGUUCUAAAACAUCUAACAAGAUAACUGACUGAAUCUGUUUUAGACAGCAGCAUAGUUAACUUUCAAAAUUCGAUAUCUCACAAACUACUCAACUAAAAAUCAUGAAAUUCUGCUGAAAGUAAUAACUUUUAUCCCUCUACAAAAGUUUCCAUAGCUGGGAGAGCCAAUUCGGCCAUUUACUUGAUGAAACCUACCAAUGAACAGACCCGCUCAUUUCUGUCAGGCUAACAGAAACAGCCACAGUAAAACAAACAUAACUGGAGUUUCAUAAUUCAUAUGAAUGCACUCUUUAACAAUCUGGAAAGCUUAUGAAAUUAUCUACAUCUUUUCUUACAAACCUAAGCUUUAAUUCGGUUGAUAAAAUUGCCUAAAUCUUAAGAGAACAGAUUCUAUACAGAAUUAAGAGACUGAAAAACUGCUAUAAUCAAACUGCGAUAACUCUCUGAUCUGAUGUCCGAUUGAGGUGUUUUUCGCGGCCACGGAAAGAUCUACAAAUUAUCUACGACUUAUAUAUAGACUUUUUAUUUUUUUUGAGGCCUCUAAGACCACGGAAAACUGGGAUUAACAGAAACUGUCGAAUCUGCCAUUCUGCAGAAAACUAAAUUCGAGAUCAAAACCUAACCCCACAUCUAAUCCAACCUCUAAUCCUUUAAUUCCCAUGAUCCACAACCUCCAAAAGCACAUAAUUACAGGGAGGAACAAGGAUCUCAUCCAUACCUAGGGUUUCCCCAAGAAAUUCUGCAAGAAGAGAUGGGGAAGAACAUCUCCUUGAUCCUCUCUUCCCCUUCAACUCAAUGUGCUCCUCCUCUUCUCGAUCCUUGCUGCGCGGGGGGAGAUCUAGAGGGAGGAGGAAGCCGUGGAGAGGGGCUGCCAUGGGAGGAGAGGGCAGCCAGCGCAAGGAAAAAGGAGAGAGGGGCGGCCAAGUGUUGGAGGGGGGGGAAAGGGUUGGCGACCAAGUAGGGGCAAAAGGGGGAAAAGGCCACCACUAGGGUUUUCUUUGCGGGAGAAAAGAAGCGACGCCACAGAUGACUCCGACUUAGCAUCCAACGGCCCACAACCCUUUUCCCACAUCCACGCACCAAAGAUCAAUCUUUGGCAACAUUUUUUUGGGAUAUUACACAUAGGGACAAAAGUAGUUAAGAAAAAUAGCAAAAAGAUAGUGGUCUACCAUAGAGGGCACAUGUUCCCUAAUUGGCCUAGAGCAUAGCGGCUCAUUAUCAUUCCACCGCUGGUGGCGGGCGGUACUCGCUGCUCUGUGAAGCCACCUCACGCAAUGUCCGCCACUUUAGGUGUUAGGAUGCAAAGGCGUUUGCCAAGGCACACGAAACCCACUACACAACUUGGAAUGGGUGGUCCACAGUUUGUAGCACUAGACCCAAGCACAUGCACCACAAUUGACAUCCACACUUCCUUAUUGCCCCCGCUCGGGUUACAAGCAAUCGCUACUUGCUCAGCGAGUGAGGGGGUCCAGGACUGCCUAUUUAAGGUGGUGUUGUACUCUAUGAGGCGGCGAUGUGGUAUUAACCAACAACAAAUAGUGUCAUGCAUGUGAGUUGCUAGUUGGCAAAGUCUGUUGUUGACCUAGCUAUGGGCUGUGGCUGAAGCACAUGACGAUAGAGUAGGCCUAUUAUGUUUUGUUGAUUUUGGGCCUUUGUGGACUUUAUGCUGAUGUCCAGAAAUUUUUUAUGUGUUUCCUCUUCCCAAUGAAGUGGAAAGUGGGUGCGUCAGAGAAGAAAGAAAGAGUGGCUAGCAUUGAUUUUACGUCAUCCCCUUGAGAACAUUAAUCAAAAGCAGAAGCAACAAUAUUUGAUACAUAUACAACACAUGUAAUCCAUAUAAACAACUUUCCUUCAAAAAUAAUAUAAACCACAUGAUUAUAUCUUAGGUCGGUCAUAUCCACAAAGGGCAAGGACACGCACCUAAGUUUGUAGUUUAGAACUAAGAGUGUCUACUCUCACGAUUUCUUGCCGACAUAUGCAAACUGGACACUAAUCACGUAAAGUAAAGACAUAUGUGGUAACACGAACCUAUAGCAUGUAUUUCAACCUAUAGAUUGUUGAUUAUUAUGGUAGAUUAUAUAAUAUAGGGAUUCUCGAAGAAAUACGUAAAAACGAGAGAAUUGAAUUUUCCUUUUCAGAUUUGGCUAACUGGUAAAAGGAGUUGGAGUAUCUGAGUUUCCAAAUUUGGGACGUAGAUGUAUAGAAGGAAUAUAUAUACGUUGGAAUUUUUUCUACAAGGCAAGGUUUAACACAAGUUGGGACAAGAAAAAACCAAUGAGGCUUUGAUCGCAUGGUCACAAAACUAGAGACAAGAAACAUGAAGAAACCAAGGUAAUUAGUAUGAGAGUUUUCCAAAUUUGGUGUCUUGAUGUAGAAAAAAUAAAUAUAUGGCAAACAUGUUUUUCUAGAAGGCAUGGUAUAAUAAGUGGGAGUGAGUAAUAAAUUUCAUCAUAGAUUUAGAACGAAGAAAUAUAUCACUAAAUAUGUUCUUUCAUAAUGCCAAGUUAAGCAGGUGGGGCCGAGAAAACAAUUCUAGUGAGGCUUGGUUGUACUAACCCCAAACUAGAUACAACAGAGGAAAAAUGAAAAAAUGUUGGUCUACCAAAUAUGGCGCAUGAGCCUUAAGGUGGACCUAGAGGGAAGUAGAAGAAAUAAAUAUAUAAUUGAAUAUGUUUUUCGCAAUGCAAGGUAAAGUGUAGAUGCGCUCUAACUAGGCUUAAAUUGCAGCGACACGUUAUCCAUCCACAAGGCUUGGUUGCACAUAGAAAAAAGGUAAAGAGAAAAAUGUAGACGUAGGAUGGGUUGAAAAACAUUCAAUGAGGCAUGAUUACACGGACAUAGAACUAGAUAGAAGAAAAGACUUAAAGAAAAAUAAAGGAAGUAAAUUUUCUUUUGCACACUAAGCAUGAAUGGAGUUGUAGUAUCUGAGAUCCCAAAUUUAAUUUGUUCCAAGAUGUAGAACAAAAUUGCGAGACUCGUAAUGAUUACAUAGGGACAAAAGUAGUUAAGAAAAAUAGCAAAAAGAUAGUGGUCUACCAUAGAGGGCACAUGUUCCCUAAUUGGCCUAGAGCAUACUGGCUCAUUAUCCUUCCACCGCUGGUGGCGGGCGGUACUCGCUGCUCUGUAAAGCCAGCCUCACGCAAUGUCUGCCACUUUAGGUGUUAGGAUGCAAAGGCAUUCGCCAAGGCACCCGAAACCCACUACACAACUUGGAAUGGGUGGUCCAUAGUUUGUAGCACUAGACCCAAGCACAUGCACCACAAUUGACAUCCACACUUCCUUAUUGCCCCCGCUCGGGUUACAAGCAAUCGCUACUUGCUCAGCGAGUGAGGGGGUUCAGGACUGCCUAUUUGUAAUAUCCCAAAAAAAAUGUUGACCAAAAGUUAAUCUCUGGUGCGUGGAUGAGGUAAAGGGUUGUGGGCCAUUGGAUGCAAAGAUAGAAGUCAUCUGAGGCGUCGUUUCUUUCUCCCACAAAAACCCUAGGUGGCCACCCUUUUUUUUCCCUUCACCCCCCCCCCCCCCCUCUUGGUCGCCACCCCCUUUUUCUCCCCCUUGGCUGGACGCCCCCUCCCCCUAUGGCAGCCAUCCUCCAUUGCUUCCUCCCCCAAGAUCUCCCCCUACGCAGCAAGGUUCAAGAAAAGGAGGGGCACGUUGAAUUGAAGAGGAAGAGAGGAUCAAGGAGAUGUUCUUCCCCAUCUCCUCUUGAAGAUUUCUUGGGGAAACCCUAGGUAUGGAUGAGAUCCUUGUUCCUCCCUGUAAUUAUAGGCUUUUGGAGGUUGUGGAUCAUGGGAAUUAAAGGAUUAGAGGUUGGAUUUGAUGCGGGGUUAGGUUUUGAUCUCGAAUUUAGUUUUCUGCAGAAUGGCAGAUUCGACAGUUUCUGUUCAUGCCAGUUUUCCGUGGUCUUAGUGGCCUCAAAAAAAUAAAAAGUCUAUGUAUGAGUCGUAGAUAAUUUGUAGAUCUUUCCGUGGCCGCGAAGAACACCUCAAUCGGACAUCCGACCAGAAAGUUAUUGCAGUUUUACUAUAGCAGUUUUUCAGUCUCAUAAUUCUGUGCAGAAUCUGUUCUCUUAAGAUUUAGGCAAUUUUAUCAACAGAAUUAAACUGUGGGUUGGUAAAAGAAGUUGUAGAUAAUUUUAUAAGCUUUCCAGAUUGUUAAAGAGUGCAUUCAUAUGAUUUGUGAAACUCCAGUUAUGUUUGUUUUACUGUGGCUGUUCCUGUUUACCUGACAAAAAUGAGUGGGUCUGUUCACUGGUGGGUUUCAUCUAGUAAAUGGCCGAAUUGGCUCUUCCAACUAUGGAGACUUUUGUAGAGGGAUAAAAGUUCUUACUUCCAGCAGAAUUUCAUAAUUUUUGGUUCAGCAGUUUUGGAGAUAUCGAAUUUUAAAGUUAACCAUACUGCUGUCUAAAACAGAUUCAGUCAGUUAUCUUGUCAGAUGUUUUAGAACUUGUAGAUGGCAGAAUUUAAUUAUCUAUUGAAUACUGAAGUUGUAGAGUAUUUUGUGUAGAUACUCCUAGAGUAUUUGUUUGAUAUCACCGCUGUUUUAAUUUUAAAGAUACAAAAUUAACAAACAGCGUUGCUGCUGUAUGGCAUGUGGUUCAGGGUGGGAGUCUUUCCACUGGGUCUUGGUUUCAAGUGUAGGAGUGUUUUGUUGAUUGAUGGCAAAUGUUUGUGAAAUAUUUGUACUAAGUUUUAUGCCCACUAGCAGGUGGCUACACUCCAGAUCAUGUCUAGUACAUUUCUUCUUCUUUGAUGAAGGCAAGUGAAUGUAGCGGUGGUUGCUUCCGUUCUGACCUGUUAUUUCUAUCGCCUACACUCUAAUAUUCAGAAGUAUCAGAUUCUUUCAUAAUUGGACUCUAUGGUGAUGCUUUACUUGCUUGCAUUAUACUGAUGCUCAAUGAUAUAUUGAUGAUGAUUAUGAUUUGAGUAUGACUCAUGAGAUUAAUUCACACCCCUGAAGGUAAAUGAAGUAUUAUUUGAGGUUGGUAUUGUAUCUGAAGGUAAAUGAAGUAUUAUUUGAGGUUUGUGUUGUAUCUGAAGGAAGUGAAGUUUAUUGAUAAAUGUAGCAUGCCAUAUACAUUGCAUGACUCAUUUGCAUAUGAAGUUUUGUCGUGACCUAUGGUCCGACCGUACCGGUACAACUUAGCAUCGUACGUUGCCCGAGAAGGGGUACGAUGCGGCUUCAUACCCUUAGAGGUAUGAAGGCAGAGGACAUAUGCAUUGCAUUCAUAUGCAUUCAUUGAAGUGAUAUUUGCAGAUGAUGUGGUUUUAUACCCCCAGAGGUAUGAAGAUAGAGUACCUACACAUUGCAUUCCUAUGCAUACAUUGAAGUGAUAUUUGCAGGUAUUGUUGACUCAGGGAAGUGUUAUAGAACCUAUUGUGGUUGUUCGAGGAAAUGAGAUGGUAUUGGUUAUAGUGGGACUACUGAGUUCUAUAUCUACAAGCAUUUCUGAUUUUUAAUUGUGACUCUUUUAAAAUGUUGAUGAAUUCAAUUUGUGGUUUAAAUAUCUCGUCAGAACAAUUAGCUUGCUGAGAUGUUUCAUCUCACUCUUGCAUUACUCAAUGCAGGUGCUUGUUGCUCAUCAAGGGGAGUGGGAAGUAGCAGCACAUCCACCUUCAUUCUCAUAAUAAUGCUGCCCAGACGCAGCCAUGAUUUAAUUAGAAACUUCUUGUCAAAGGAUGUUUGUUUUUAACUAGUCGUGCGCACUGAUUAAUUCAGUUCAUGUUGUUAUGGUUGUCUUCCCAUUGCUAGCAGAUUAUUAAUGUCUUAUAUGUUUUCUUAUCAUGAUAUCUAUUUAUACUUUGUUGCUUCCCCCGUUUAUGCAAUUUUCAAAGGAGAUGCUGUCGAAAUUUUAUAUAUGAAUAUUAGAUGUGUAGUUUAGUAGCAUUCUGGGGUGUUUGUGGAUCCCGGGGUGUUACAGUUGGUAUCAAAGCAUAGGCUUUAGAUUCUUGGCAAUUUGAAGAUAAAUUUGACACACUUGCACAUAUAGGAAGGGUAUGGGUUCAAAUAUCUUUGAUAUAUAUUAAUGUCUUUGGAGUGCAGAUGACAAUAGUUUCACCCCUCCCUAUUCCUUUAUGGUGAUGUGGUAAGUUGUUUAUGGCUUAAUGCUUGAUAUAAUUUAUUUCUGAAAUUUUGAUAUUGUUUUAUUAAUGCGGUAGAUAUCGCUGGUCAUUGGUGAGAAUGAAGUUGUUAUUAUGAUUGUGAUAUACAAGUAUGCCUAUGUUGUUUUCACCAUGUUUUUCAUGGUUGAGUUUUAUUACAAUAAUAUUGUUAUAUAUGCUUGAUUGUGGAUGUUUCUAAGAGGAGUGUGAAUUGCGUGUUUUGGGGUACAAGGUAAUCAUCAAUUUGAAUUUAAGUUGUUGAGCGGUUGGUGGAUAGCUCCAACUAUCAUUGCAAAGAAUGAUUGUUUAUGUUGAGAAACCAGUUUUGAAAGAAAUGAAUAUUGGUACUUUAUAUGGAUUUUUGGGGGAAGUCUUUUCAUAGCCAGAAUGGCUUACAUGUCGCUCUCAUAUUGUGUGUUUUAGUUGCCACAAAGCCUAGAUGUGGUUUAAAGUGGUUGCCUGUUAGUCAUACUAAUUGUAGAAUAAACCUUUGAUUCUCUUGAUCCAUUGAUUAUGUAUUGAUACAUUGAGGAUCUGAUGGUUCCCUUUUCGAUGCAUGCUUGUGGAGCCAUUUUUUUAGACCACCUAUCUAUUGGUUUGAAGGAAGUCCUUGCCUAGCCUAGAGUUGGUUGGGUGUGGCUAGUCACCUAUUCCUAGAUCAUGUGGUGUUUACAUCAGCUUAAUAUGUUUGUCAAAUGUGUGAAGGAUUAGGGGUUAUUAUUAUUGACUUUGUAUGUCUGGUACUUUGAGUGCAUCGUAUGAUAGAAUGAAAUGUAAGUUUCUGAACUACAGUAGAUGAAGACUUAUAUUAUGUGUAGGUUAUCCUUACUAGUUGGAUAUUUUUCUUAGUUGAGAUGUUGAAUGAAGUAUAGUGACAUGGGUUAAGCAAGUAUUGUGUUGUUGUUGGGCUAUCAGUGCUCUAUGUAGAGUUUUUGGCAUUUCUUCGAUGAACUAUGCCGCACAAGAUGUUAUUGGCUUCUUUUGGCUUUAUUGCUCCAUUAGUUCUAUAGAUUUUCUCCCUUUUGGUGGGGUGCAAGGAAUGUUAGAUUACAUGAUUAUCUUUUCAUGAUGGCAAGAAUAAGGUUUAGGAAGAUUAGGAGUUUUGUUCCAAUAGAACUACUUGUUUCAUAGUGCUUUAAGGUGAGGCGUUUGAUCUUCUUAUACAUUCGUCGGGUGUAGAUGUUUCACCAUUUAAUUAAAAUUAAUGGUUGAAGUUGGUAAGGGUUGUGCUUGGUGCAUAUUACCCCUUCAUAAAAGAGUGUUGUCUUAAGACAUUGAUGUUGAUGUAUAGCUGCAUCCAAAUUUGAUGGUGUGAAAUUGGAGUGUUGAUUGCAACUAUGACAUGCUUUGAGCUUCAUUACAUGUUGUUUCAUGCUUGAUGUCAGGUCGUGUAGUUUCCUUAGACAAUUAGUCCAAGGUAGAAGUUCUUGUGUUAAUUAAGACCAAUAAUGGACCCAUGUUUUGAAUUGUGGUGCUAUAUGGGGUACCUUGGGUGUUUUGCUUGGAGUGGCCGAAUUCGAGGUCGAAUUCUUUUUAAGGGGGGUAGAGUGUAAUAUCCCAAAAAAAAUGUUGACCAAAAGUUAAUCUUUGGUGCGUGGAUGAGGUAAAGGGUUGUGGGCCAUUGGAUGCAAAGAUAGAAGUCAUCUGAGGCGUCGUUUCUUUCUCCCACAAAAACCCUAGGUGGCCACCCUUUUUUUUCCCUUCACCCCCCCCCCCCCCCUCUUGGUCGCCACCCCCUUUUUCUCCCCCUUGGCUGGACGCCCCCUCCCCCUAUGGCAGCCAUCCUCCAUUGCUUCCUCCCCCAAGAUCUCCCCCUACGCAGCAAGGAUCAAGAAAAGGAGGGGCACGUUGAAUUGAAGAGGAAGAGAGGAUCAAGGAGAUGUUCUUCCCCAUCUCCUCUUGAAGAUUUCUUGGGGAAACCCUAGGUAUGGAUGAGAUCCUUGUUCCUCCCUGUAAUUAUAGGCUUUUGGAGGUUGUGGAUCAUGGGAAUUAAAGGAUUAGAGGUUGGAUUUGAUGCGGGGUUAGGUUUUGAUCUCGAAUUUAGUUUUCUGCAGAAUGGCAGAUUCGACAGUUUCUGUUCAUGCCAGUUUUCCGUGGUCUUAGUGGCCUCAAAAAAAUAAAAAGUCUAUGUAUGAGUCGUAGAUAAUUUGUAGAUCUUUCCGUGGCCGCGAUGAACACCUCAAUCGGACAUCCGACCAGAAAGUUAUUGCAGUUUUACUAUAGCAGUUUUUCAGUCUCAUAAUUCUGUGCAGAAUCUGUUCUCUUAAGAUUUAGGCAAUUUUAUCAACAGAAUUAAACUGUGGGUUGGUAAAAGAAGUUUUAGAUAAUUUUAUAAGCUUUCCAGAUUGUUAAAGAGUGCAUUCAUAUGAUUUGUGAAACUCCAGUUAUGUUUGUUUUACUGUGGCUGUUCCUGUUUACCUGACAAAAAUGAGUGGGUCUGUUCACUGGUGGGUUUCAUCUAGUAAAUGGACGAAUUGGCUCUUCCAACUAUGGAGACUUUUGUAGAGGGAUAAAAGUUCUUACUUCCAGCAGAAUUUCAUAAUUUUUGGUUCAGCAGUUUUGGAGAUAUCGAAUUUUAAAGUUAACCAUACUGCUGUCUAAAACAGAUUCAGUCAGUUAUCUUGUCAGAUGUUUUAGAACUUGUAGAUGGCAGAAUUUAAUUAUCUAUUGAAUAUUGAAGUUGUAGAGUAUUUUGUGUAGAUACUCCUAGAGUAUUUGUUUGAUAUCACCGCUGUUUUAAUUUUAAAGAUACAAAAUUAACAAACAGCGUUGCUGCUGUAUGGCAUGUGGUUCAGGGUGGGAGUCUUUCCACUGGGUCUUGGUUUCAAGUGUAGGAGUGUUUUGUUGAUUGAUGGCAAAUGUUUGUGAAAUAUUUGUACUAAGUUUUAUGCCCACUAGCAGGUGGCUACACUCCAGAUCAUGUCUAGUACAUUUCUUCUUCUUUGAUGAAGGCGAGUGAAUGUAGCGGUGGUUGCUUCCGUUCUGACCUGUUAUUUCUAUCGCCUACACUCUAAUAUUCAGAAGUAUCAGAUUCUUUCAUAAUUGGACUCUAUGGUGAUGCUUUACUUGCUUGCAUUAUACUGAUGCUCAAUGAUAUAUUGAUGAUGAUUAUGAUUUGAGUAUGACUCAUGAGAUUAAUUCACACCCCUGAAGGUAAAUGAAGUAUUAUUUGAGGUUGGUAUUGUAUCUGAAGGUAAAUAAAGUAUUAUUUGAGGUUUGUGUUGUAUCUGAAGGAAGUGAAGUUUAUUGAUAAAUGUAGCAUGCCAUAUACAUUGCAUGACUCAUUUGCAUAUGAAGUUUUGUCGUGACCUAUGGUCCGACCGUACCGGUACAACUUAGCAUCGUACGUUGCCCGAGAAGGGGUACGAUGCGGCUUCAUACCCUUAGAGGUAUGAAGGCAGAGGACAUAUGCAUUGCAUUCAUAUGCAUUCAUUGAAGUGAUAUUUGCAGAUGAUGUGGUUUUAUACCCCCAGAGGUAUGAAGAUAGAGUACCUACACAUUGCAUUCCUAUGCAUACAUUGAAGUGAUAUUUGCAGGUAUUGUUGACUCAGGGAAGUGUUAUAGAACCUAUUGUGGUUGUUCGAGGAAAUGAGAUGGUAUUGGUUAUAGUGGGACUACUGAGUUCUAUAUCUACAAGCAUUUCUGAUUUUUAAUUGUGACUCUUUUAAAAUGUUGAUGAAUUCAAUUUGUGGUUUAAAUAUCUCGUCAGAACAAUUAGCUUGCUGAGAUGUUUCAUCUCACUCUUGCAUUACUCAAUGCAGGUGCUUGUUGCUCAUCAAGGGGAGUGGGAAGUAGCAGCACAUCCACCUUCAUUCUCAUAAUAAUGCUGCCCAGACGCAGCCAUGAUUUAAUUAGAAACUUCUUGUCAAAGGAUGUUUGUUUUUAACUAGUCGUGCGCACUGAUUAAUUCAGUUCAUGUUGUUAUGGUUGUCUUCCCAUUGCUAGCAGAUUAUUAAUGUCUUAUAUGUUUUCUUAUCAUGAUAUCUAUUUAUACUUUGUUGCUUCCCCCGUUUAUGCAAUUUUCAAAGGAGAUGCUGUCGAAAUUUUAUAUAUGAAUAUUAGAUGUGUAGUUUAGUAGCAUUCUGGGGUGUUUGUGGAUCCCGGGGUGUUACACUAUUUAAGGUGGUGUUGUACUCUAUGAGGCGGCGAUGUGGUAUUAACCAAUAACAAAUAGUGUCAUGCAUGUGAGUUGCUAGUUGGCAAAGUCUGUUGUUGACCUAGCUAUGGGUUGUGGUUGAAGCACAUGACGAUAGAGUAGGCCUAUUAUGUUUUGUUGAUUUUGGGCCUUUGUGGACUUUAUGCUGAUGUCCAUAAUUUUUUUUGUGUUUCCUCUUCCCUAUGAAGUGGAAAGUGGGUGCGUCAGAGAAGUAAGAAAGAGUGGCUAGCAUUGAUUUUACGUCAUCCCCUUGAGAACAUUAAUCAAAAGCAGAAGCAACAAUAUUUGAUACAUAUACAACACAUGUAAUCCAUAUAAACAACUUUCCUUCAAAAAUAAUAUAAACCACAUGAUUAUAUCUUAGGUCGGUCAUAUCCACAAAGGGCAAGGACACGCACCUAAGUUUGUAGUUUAGAACUAAGAGUGUCUGCUCUCACGAUUUCUUCCCGACAUAUGCAAACUGGACACUGAUCACGUAAAGUAAAGACAUAUGUGGUAACACGAACCUAUAGCAUGUAUUUCAACCUAUAGAUUGUUGAUUAUUAUGGUAGAUUAUAUAAUAUAGGGAUUCCCGAAGAAAUACGUAAAAACGAGAGAAUUAAAUUUUCCUUUUCAGAUUUGGCUAACUGGUAAAAGGAGUUGGAGUAUCUGAGUUUCCAAAUUUGGGACGUAGAUGUAUAGAAGGAAUAUAAAUACGUUGGAAAUUUUUCUACAAGGCAAGGUUUAACACAAGUUGGGACAAGAAAAAACCAAUGAGGCUUUGAUCGCAUGAUCACAAAACUAGAGACAAGAAACAUGAAGAAACCAAGGUAAUUAGUAUGAGAGUUUUCCAAAUUUGGUGUCUUGAUGUAGAAAAAAUAAAUAUAUGACAAACAUAUUUUUCUACAAGGCAUGGUAUAAUAAGUGGGAGUGAGUAAUAAAUUUCAUCAUAGAUUUAGAAGGAAGAAUUAUAUCAAUAAAUAUGUUCUUUCAUAAUGCUAAGUUAAGCACGUGGGGCUGAGAAAUCAAUUCUACCGAGGCUUGCUUGUACAAGCCCCAAACUAGAUACAACAGAGGAAAAAUGAAAAAAUGUUGCUCUACCAAAUAUGGCGCAUGAGCCUUAAGGUGGACCUGGAGGGAAGUAGAAGAAACAAAUAUAUAACUGAAUAUGUUUUUUGCAAUGCAAGGUAAAGUGUAGAUGCGCUCUAACUAGGCUUAAAUUGCAGCGACACGUUAUCCAUCCACAAGGCUUGGUUGCACAUAGAAAAAAGGUAAAGAGAAAAAUGUAGACGUAGGAUGGGUUGAAAAACAUUCAAUGAGGCAUGAUUACACGGACAUAGAACUAGAUAGAAGAAAAGACUUAAAGAAAAAUAAAGGAAGUAAAUUUUCUUUUGCACACUAAGCAUGAAUGGAGUUGUAGUAUCUGAGAUCCCAAAUUUAAUUUGUUCCAAGAUGUAGAACAAAAUUGCGAGACUCGUAAUGAUUACAUAGGGACAAAAGUAGUUAAGAAAAAUAGCAAAAAGAUAGUGGUCUACCAUAGAGGGCACAUGUUCCCUAAUUGGCCUAGAGCAUACUGGCUCAUUAUCCUUCCACCGCUGGUGGCGGGCGGUACUCGCUGCUCUGUGAAGCCAGCCUCACGCAAUGUCCGCCACUUUAGGUAUUAGGAUGCAAAGGCAUUCGCCAAGGCACCCGAAACCCACUACACAACUUGGAAUGGGUGGUCCACAGUUUGUAGCACUAGACCCAAGCACAUGCACCACAAUUGACAUCCACACUUCCUUAUUGCCCCCGCUCGGGUUACAAGCAAUCGCUACUUGCUCAGCGAGUGAGGGGGUUCAGGACUGCCUAUUUAAGGUGGUGUUGUACUCUAUGAAGCGGUGAUGUGGUAUUAACCAACAACAAAUAGUGUGUAGUCUAGAAAUUUUUAUGUGUUUCCUCUUCCCUAUGAAGUGGAAAGUGGGUGCGUCAGAGAAGUAAGAAAGAGUGGCUAGCAUUGAUUUUACGUCAUCCCCUUGAGAACAUUAAUCAAAAGCAGAAGCAACAAUAUUUGAUACAUAUACAACACAUGUAAUCCAUAUAAACAAUUUUCCUUCAAAAAUAAUAUAAACCACAUGAUUAUAUCUUAGGUCGGUCAUAUCCACAAAGGGCAAGGACACGCACCUAAGUUUGUAGUUUAGAACUAAGAGUGUCUGCUCUCACGAUUUCUUCCCGACCUAUGCAAACUGGACACUGAUCACGUAAAGUAAAGACAUAUGUGGUAACAUGAACCUAUAGCAUGUAUUUCAACCUAUAGAUUGUUGAUUAUUAUGGUAGAUUAUAUAAUAUAGGGAUUCCCGAAGAAAUACAUAAAAACGAGAGAAUUAAAUUUUCCUUUUCAGAUUUGGCUAACUGGUAAAAGGAGUUGGAGUAUCUGAGUUUCCAAAUUUGGGACGUAGAUGUAUAGAAGGAAUAUAAAUACGUUGGAAAUUUUUCUACAAGGCAAGGUUUAACACAAGUUGGGACAAGAAAAAACCAAUGAGGCUUUGAUCGCAUGGUCACAAAACUAGAGACAAGAAACAUGAAGAAACCAAGGUAAUUAGUAUGAGAGUUUUCCAAAUUUGGUGUCUUGAUGUAGAAAAAUAAAUAUAUGAUAAACAUGUUUUUCUACAAGGCAUGGUAUAAUAAGUGGGAGUGAGUAAUAAAUUUCAUCAUAGAUUUAGAAGGAAGAAUUAUAUCACUAAAUAUGUUCUUUCAUAAUGCCAAGUUAAGUAGGUGGGGCCGAGAAAUCAAUUCUUGCGAGGCUUGGUUGUACUAGCCCCAAACUAGAUACAGCAGAGGAAAAAUAAAAAAAAUGUUGGUCUACCAAAUAUGGCGCAUGAGCCUUAAGGUGGACCUGGAGGGAAGUAGAAGAAAUAAAUAUAUAACUGAAUAUGUUUUUCGCAAUGCAAGGUAAAGUGUAGAUGCGCUCUAACUAGGCUUAGAUUGCAGUGACACGUUAUCCUUCCACAAGGCUUGGUUGCACAAUGAAAAAAAGGUAAAGAGAAAAAUGUAGACGUAGGAUGGGUUGAAAACAUUCAAUGAGGCAUGAUUGCACGGACAUAGAACUAGAUAGAAGAAAAGACUUAAAUAAAAAUAAAGGAAGUAAAUUUUCUUUUGCACACUAAGCAUGAAUGGAGUUGUAGUAUCUGAGAUCCCAAAUUUAAUUUGUUCCAAGAUGUAGAACAAAAUUGCAAGACUCAUAAUGAUUACAUAGGGACAAAAGUAGUUAAGAAAAAUAGCAAAAAGAUAGUGGUCUACCAUAGAGGGCACAUGUUCCCUAAUUGGCCUAGAGCAUAGCGGCUCAUUAUCCUUCCACCGCUGGUGGCGGGCGGUACUCGCUGCUCUGUGAAGCCAGCCUCAUGCAAUGUCCGCCACUUUAGGUGUUAGGAUGCAAAGGCAUUCGCCAAGGCACCCGAAACCCACUACACAACUUGGAAUGGGUGGUCCACAGUUUGUAGCACUAGACUCAAGCACAUGCACCACUAUUGACAUCCACACUUCCUUAUUGCCCCCGCUCUGGUUACAAGCAAUCGCUACUUGCUCAACGAGUGAGGGGGUUCAGGACUACCUAUUUAAGGUGGUGUUGUACUCUAUGAGGCGGCGAUGUGGUAUUAACCAACAACAAAUAGUGUCAUGCAUGUGAGUUGCUAGUUGGCAGAGUCUGUUGUUGACCUAGCUAUGGGUUGUGGCUGAAGCACAUGACGAUAGAGUAGGCCUAUUAUGUUUUGUUGAUUUUGGGCCUUUGUGGACUUUAUGCUGAUGUCCAGAAUUUUUUUAUGUGUUUCCUCUUCCCUAUGAAGUGAAAAGUGGGUGCGUCAAAGAAGAAAGAAAGAGUGGCUAGCAUUGAUUUUACGUCAUCCCCUUGAGAACAUUAAUCAAAAGCAGAAGCAACAAUAUUUGAUACAUAUGCAACACAUGUAAUCCAUAUAAACAACUUUCCUUCAAAAAUAAUAUAAACCACAUGAUUAUAUCUUAGGUCGGUCAUAUCCACAAAGGGCAAGGACACGCACCUAAGUUUGUAGUUUAGAACUAAGAGUGUCUACUCUCACGAUUUCUUCCCGACAUAUGUAAACUGUACACUGAUCACGUAAAGUAAAGACAUAUGUGGUAACACGAACCUAUAGCAUGUAUUUCAACCUAUAGAUUGUUGAUUAUUAUGGUAGAUUAUAUAAUAUAGGGAUUCCCGAAGAAAUACGUAAAAACGAGAGAAUUAAAUUUUCCUUUUCAGAUUUGGCUAACUGGUAAAAGGAGUUGGAGUAUCUAAGUUUCCAAAUUUGGGAUGUAGAUGUAUAGAAGGAAUAUAAAUAUGUUGGAAAUUUUUCUACAAGGCAAGGUUUAACACAAGUUGGGACAAGAAAAAAGCAAUGAGGAUUUGAUUGCAUGGUCACAAAACUAGAGACAAGAAACAUGAAGAAACCAACGUAAUUAGUAUGAGAGUUUUCCAAAUUUGGUGUCUUGAUGUAGAAAAAAUAAAUAUAUGACAAACAGGUUUUUUGCAAGGCAUGGUAAAAUAUGUGGUUGUGAGCAAUGAAUUUCGUCCUAGAUUUAGAAGGAAUAAAUAUAUCACCAUAUAUGUUUUUUCAUAAUGCCAAGUUAAGCAUGUGGGACCGAGAAAAUAAUUCUAGCGAGGCUAGGUUGUACUAGCCCAAAACUAUAUACAACUAAGGAAAAAUAAAAAAUGAUGGUCUACCAAAUAUGGCGCAUGAGCCUUAAGGUGGACCUAGAGGGAAGUAGAAGAAAUAAAUAUAUAACAGAAUAUGUUUUCACAAUGUAAGGUAAAGUGUAGAUGUGCUCUAACUGGGCUUAGAUUGCAGCGACAUGUAAUCCAUCCACAAGGCUUGGUUGCACAUGGAAAAAUAUAGAGAGAGAAAUGUAGACGUAGGACCAAGAGAAAAACAAUCAAUGAGGCGUGAUUGCAUGAACAUAUAACUAGAUAGAAGAAAAGAGUUAAAGAAAAAUAAAGGAACUAAAUUUUCUUUUGCACACUUACCAUGAAUGGAGCUGUAGUAUCUGUGAUCUCAAUUUUAAUUUAUUCCAAGAUGCAGAAUUAUGUUGCGAGACUCGUAAUGGUUACAUAGGGAUAAAAGUAGAUAAGAAAAAUAGCAAAAAGAUAGUGGUCUACCAGAGAGGGCACAUGUGCCCUAAUUGGCCUACAGCAUAGCGGCUCAUUAUCCUUCCACCGCUGGUGGAGGGUGGUACUCGCUGCUCUGUGAAGUCAACCUCAUGCAAUGUCCGCCACUUUAGGUGUUGGGAUGCAAAGGCUUUUGCCAAGGCACACGAAACCCACGACAGAACUUGGAAUGGGUGGUCCACAUUUUGUAGCACUAGACCCAGGCUCAUGCACCACAAUUGACAUCCACACUACCGUAUUGCCCCCUCUCAGGUUACAAGCAAUCGCUACU
This 23260-nucleotide long non-coding RNA is filed under the name Zea mays. RNAcentral describes it as "long non-coding RNA (ZMAY_LNC000508)". Lineage: Eukaryota; Viridiplantae; Streptophyta; Magnoliopsida; Poales; Poaceae. The record is from RNAcentral.